UUAAUACUCCCUCCGUCCCAAAAUUCUUGUCUUAGAUUUAUCUAGACAUGAAUGUAUCUAGUCAUAUAUUAGUAUUUAAAUACAUUCAUUUUUAGACAAACCUAAGACAAGAAUUUUGAGACGGAGGGAGUACUCU
Hordeum vulgare subsp. vulgare (domesticated barley) is the source of this 136-nucleotide non-coding RNA. The record is from Rfam. NCBI's taxonomy places the organism in Eukaryota, Viridiplantae, Streptophyta, Magnoliopsida, Poales, Poaceae.